Molecule: ribosomal RNA, 323 nt
Filed under: uncultured eukaryote
Lineage: Eukaryota
Description: partial 18S ribosomal RNA
Rfam family: Eukaryotic small subunit ribosomal RNA
Source: RNAcentral
CCCUUAGAUGUUCUGGGCCGCACGCGCGCUACACUGACGAAGUCAGCGAGCAUCUCCUUCGCCGAAAGGUGCGGGGAAUCUUGUGAAACUUUGUCGUGCUGGGGAUUGAUUUUUGAAAUUCUUGAUCAUCAACGAGGAAUUCCUAGUAAGCGCAAGUCAGCAGCUUGCGUUGAUUACGUCCCUGCCCUUUGUACACACCGCCCGUCGCUACUACCGAUUGAAUGCUCAGGUGAGCCAUUCGGACUUUCAUCAUGCUGGUUUCCAGUUUUGAUGAAGGAAAGUCUUGCGAACCUUAUCAUUUAGAGGAAGGAGAAGUCGUAACA